CCUACGGGAGGCAGCAGUGAGGAAUAUUGGUCAAUGGACGAGAGUCUGAACCAGCCAAGUAGCGUGAAGGAUGACUGCCCUAUGGGUUGUAAACUUCUUUUAUAUGGGAAUAAAACGUUCCACGUGUGGGAUUUUGUAUGUACCAUAUGAAUAAGGAUCGGCUAACUCCGUGCCAGCAGCCGCGGUAAUACGGAGGAUCCGAGCGUUAUCCGGCUUUAUUGGGUUUAAAGGGAGCGUAGGUGGAUUGUUAAGUCAGUUGUGAAAGUUUGCGGCUCAACCGUACAAUUGCAGUUGAAACUGGCAGUCUUGAGUACAGUAGAGGUGGGCGGAAUUCGUGGUGUAGCGGUGAAAUGCUUAGAUAUCACGAAGAACUCCGAUUGCGAAGGCAGUUCACUGGACUGCAACUGACACUGAGGCUCGAAAGUGUGGGUAUCAAACAGGAUUAGAUACCCUUGUAGUC
This 460-nucleotide ribosomal RNA is filed under the name uncultured bacterium. Its description in RNAcentral is "partial 16S ribosomal RNA". It matches the Rfam family "Bacterial small subunit ribosomal RNA", at positions 338 to 795 of the family's 1533-position model. The record is from RNAcentral.